Molecule: RNA transcript, 762 nt
Organism: Camponotus floridanus (Florida carpenter ant)
Lineage: Eukaryota; Metazoa; Arthropoda; Insecta; Hymenoptera; Formicidae
Gene name: peptidyl-prolyl cis-trans isomerase NIMA-interacting 4
Exons: 7
Source: RefSeq, a predicted model, not a curated record
UAGUAAAUUAAAGGGAGUAAAUGUAAGACGAAGUUAGUGCAAUUUUAAAAGGAGGAUCAAUAAUAUCAUAUGACUUCCGGAUUGAACAUAUCGUGUUUAGUAUAUUGAUAUAACCUAAAGUUACACAAGCAUGCCGCCUAAAAAGAACGCCGGUGCCGCGAAGACUAGUAAAGGUAAAUCCUCGGAGGACAGUGGAAAAACAGAAAAGAAAGGAGGAAAUGCAGUGAAAGUUAGACAUAUACUGUGCGAAAAGCAAUCGAAGAUAUUGGAGGCAUUGGAAAAAUUAAAAGCUGGUCAGAAGUUCAAUGAAGUCGCAGCGACAUACAGUGAGGACAAAGCCAGAUCUGGGGGUGAUCUUGGUUGGAUGACACGGGGCUCUAUGGUAGGACCCUUUCAAGAUGCUGCCUUUGCGUUGCCAAUUUCUAAUCUGGCAUCUCCGAUUUACACAGAUCCACCAGUGAAAACAAAAUUUGGAUAUCACAUCAUAAUGGUAGAAGGCUUAAAUGUCUGAAGAAGACCGUCCUCUUUCUUGAAGAAGACCGUCCUCAAACCGGUUCUACGAUUCCAACAUUAUACAGGAUAUUAUCUGUUGAAUUUACCUGACACGAUCAGCUGCACCGUGAUUCUAAUCAGCAAGAUUAGGCGUUUCAGUGUCUAAACGCACUGAUCUUCACAGAAGAAACUUCAAUAGGAUCCUCUACCUGAUGCUGUCCUGCAGACGCUCAACGAAGAACUGCAGUGUUUCCUUGGCGUAGGCACCCC